GUGCACCAGGCGCGAAACUUCACACUGUGCGAAAGCACGAUGAGGGAAUCCCAAGUGCUUGCACGUAAGUGUAAGCUGUUUCUCUGUCUAAAACGCAGAGAGAGUAAGGGCUGGGUAAGACGGGUGCCAGCCGCCGCGGUAAUACCUGCAGCUCAAGUGGUGACCGUUAUUAUUGGGCCUAAAACGUCCGUAGCCGGUUUAAUAGAUGCCUGGGUAAAUUGUGUAGCUUAACUAUACGAAUUCCGGGUAGACUGUUAAACUUGAGACCGGGAGAAGUUAGAGGUACUCCUGGGGUAGAGGUGAAAAUUCUGUAAUCCUAGGGGGACCACCAGUGGCGAAGGCGUCUAACUAGAACGGGUCUGACGGUGAGGGACGAAGCCCUGGGGCGCAAACGGGAUUAGAUACCCGCGUAGU
RNAcentral lists this ribosomal RNA (414 nucleotides) under uncultured microorganism. Its description in RNAcentral is "bacterial SSU rRNA". It matches the Rfam family "Archaeal small subunit ribosomal RNA", at positions 330 to 745 of the family's 1478-position model. The record is from RNAcentral.